This 1903-nucleotide ribosomal RNA is filed under the name Perelleschus carludovicae. RNAcentral describes it as "eukaryotic LSU rRNA". It matches the Rfam family "Eukaryotic large subunit ribosomal RNA", at positions 61 to 1600 of the family's 3401-position model. Lineage: Eukaryota; Metazoa; Arthropoda; Insecta; Coleoptera; Curculionidae. The record is from RNAcentral.
GAAACUAACUAGGAUUCCCUCAGUAGCUGCGAGCGAACAGGGAUGAGCCCAGCACCGAAUCCCGCGGCCGAUAUCGGGCGCCGGGAAAUGUGGUGUUCGGGAGGGUCCAUUAUCCCGAGAUCAUGCGACGAGUCAAAGUCCUUCUUGAACGGGGCCACAGCCCAUAGAGGGUGCCAGGCCCGUAGGGACCGUCGCCGAUAGCGGGAGGAUCUCUCCUUAGAGUCGGGUUGCUUGAGAGUGCAGCCCUAAGUGGGUGGUAAACUCCAUCUAAGGCUAAAUAUGACCACGAGACCGAUAGCGAACAAGUACCGUGAGGGAAAGUUGAAAAGCACUUUGAAGAGAGAGUUCAAGAGUACGUGAAACCGUUUAGGGGUAAACCUGAGAAACCCGAAAGGUCGAAGGGAGAAAUUCAAUCGCGUUUCGCGGCAGGCGUCGGACGGUGCAGUGCGACGGGGACGGGCGCGUCAGCGUCGCGUACCCGCGCCCGCCGUUCGUGCGAUCCGGCUGCGAACGCGUGCACUUUUCUCCUGGUAGGACGUCGCGAUCCGUCGGGCGCCGGCCUAAGGCUGACGGUGGAGCCCGUCCGUGCGAUUUCGGUCGUCGCGGACGGACCCGUCUAGAUUCCCGGCCGGCACGCUCGACGGUAUACGAAAGGUUCAGGGCCGCUCGAUAUAAGGAGCGUUCGGCUCGCGGCAAGCGCGCCAGUUGUUUGACGGCGAUCGGACCCGGUCCGAUUCCGUCCUCUGGUGACUGUUGGCCGCGCUGUUCUCGGACAGACUCUCGAACCGAUCGGCGACGCUAUAGCUUUGGGUACUUUCAGGACCCGUCUUGAAACACGGACCAAGGAGUCUAGCAUGUGCGCGAGUCAUUGGGAUUCACUAAACCUAAAGGCGCAAUGAAAGUAAAUGAGGGGGGUCUCCCUCGCGGAGAUCCCUCCAGGGAAGACGGGUGUGCGUCGCCGUAGUGCACGUCGCUCAGCAUUCCCGGGGCGUCUCGUUCUCAUUGCGAGAAGAGGCGCACCAAGAGCGUACACGCUGGGACCCGAAAGAUGGUGAACUAUGCCUGGUCAGGACGAAGUCAGGGGAAACCCUGAUGGAGGUCCGUAGCGAUUCUGACGUGCAAAUCGAUCGUCGGAACUGGGUAUAGGGGCGAAAGACUAAUCGAACCAUCUAGUAGCUGGUUCCCUCCGAAGUUUCCCUCAGGAUAGCUGGCGCUCGUCGUAUACGACGAGUCUCAUCCGGUAAAGCGAAUGAUUAGAGGCAUUGGGGUCGAAACGACCUCAACCUAUUCUCAAACUUUAAAUGGGUGAGAUCUCCGGCUUGCUCGAAUCGAUGAAGCCGCGAGAUCGGAUCAGAGUGCCAAGUGGGCCAUUUUUGGUAAGCAGAACUGGCGCUGUGGGAUGAACCAAACGUCGAGUUAAAGCGCCAAAAUCGACGCUUAUGGGAUACCAUGAAAGGCGUUGGUAACUUAAGACAGCAGGACGGUGGCCAUGGAAGUCGGAAUCCGCCAAGGAGUGUGUAACAACUCACCUGCCGAAGUUACUAGCCCUGAAAAUGGAUGGCGCUGAAGCGUCGUGCUUAUACUCGACCGUCAGCGGCAUGUGCGAUCGCGAUCGUUCGGAGUCGCGUAAAAACGACGACGACGACACGUUCAUGAAGCCCUGACGAGUAGGAGGGUCGCGGCGGUGCGCGCAGAAAGGCUGGCCGUGAGGCCGUCUGGAGCCGCCGUCGGUGCAGAUCUUGGUGGUAGUAGCAAAUACUCCAGCGAGGCCCUGGAGGACUGACGUGGAGAAGGGUUUCGUGUGAGCAGCCGUUGCACACGAGUCAGUCGAUCCUAAGCCCUAAGCGAGAGCCGAUGUCGAUGUGGUGUAGUUUAAAUAAUUAUUUAUAUGUGUAUGUGAAAA